Molecule: long non-coding RNA, 858 nt
Organism: Bos taurus (domestic cattle)
Lineage: Eukaryota; Metazoa; Chordata; Mammalia; Artiodactyla; Bovidae
Source: Ensembl
GGCCAGAGACGCUGCAGGAGCAGGGCACGGUCGAACGUGGGGACGGGGUAGUCUCAGAUGUAGGAACAGAGGUUGGACUGGUUGUAGGAGCUGAGGUUGCGCUGCUUGUGUGCACAGAGGUUGAGCUCAUUGUAGGAACUGAGGUUGUGCUGCUUGUCUGCACAGGGGUUGCACUGGUUGUUGGAGCCGAGGUUGCACUGCUUGUCUGCACAGAGAUUGUACUGGUUGUAGGAGCUGAGGUUGCACUGCUUGUGUGCACAGGGGUUACACUGGUAGUAGGAGUCGAGGUGGUGCUGCUUGUCUGCACAGAGGUUGAGCUCGUUGUAGGAGCUGAGGUUGCACUGCUUGUGUGCACAGGGGUUGGACUGGUUGUCGGAGCUGAGGUUGUGCUGCUUGUCUGCACAGAGGUUGAGCUCGUUGUAGGAACUGAGGUGGUGCUGCUUGUCUGCACAGGGGUUGCACUGGUUGUAGGAGCCGAGGUGGUGCUGCUUGUGUGCACAGAGGUUGCACUGGAUGUGGCCUCAUGGAAGGUGGUCCCUGUGUGCACAGUGACACUCACACUGGAGGUGCUGGUUACUGUGACAGUCGGGGGAGGGCAGUGUUCUCGGGGCUCGCAGCACAGCACUCUGAUCUGGUAGUUGAGGCACAGCCUGGUCUUGCCCUUCUGGUCCUGGUUCCGACACAGCAGGCCCACGUCCUGGUGGCACUGUACCAGCUGGCCCAGCUCGUGGAUGCUGACCCCGGGGUGGUUCUCGGCUCGGCACUCCACUUUGCUGAUGGAUUCAGGUCGGUGGCAGAUGCUGUCUCCAUUCCUCAUGAUGUUGCCGAAGGUUUCAUUGUCUCCCCCGUGGGGCCCGG